Molecule: ribosomal RNA, 180 nt
Filed under: uncultured bacterium
Lineage: Bacteria
Description: partial 16S ribosomal RNA
Rfam family: Bacterial small subunit ribosomal RNA
Source: RNAcentral
CCUACGGGAGGCAGCAGUGAGGAAUAUUGGUCAAUGGACGAAAGUCUGAACCAGCCAAGUAGCGUGCAGGAAGACGCCCUCUGGGCUGUAAACUGCUUUUAGUUGGGAAUAAAAAGAGGGACGUGUCCCUUAUUGUAUGUACCAUCAGAAAAAGGACCGGCUAAUUCCGUGCCAGCAGCC